CGGGGCGUGGCGCAGUCUGGCUAGCGCGGCUACGUUCGGGACGAUGAAGUUGCAGGUUCAAAUCCUGUCGCCCCGAC
Molecule: transfer RNA, 77 nt
Filed under: Bythopirellula goksoeyrii
Lineage: Bacteria; Pseudomonadati; Planctomycetota; Planctomycetia; Pirellulales; Lacipirellulaceae
Description: Bythopirellula goksoyri tRNA-Pro
Rfam family: tRNA
About the family: Transfer RNA (tRNA) molecules are approximately 80 nucleotides in length. Their secondary structure includes four short double-helical elements and three loops (D, anti-codon, and T loops).
Source: RNAcentral